RNAcentral lists this non-coding RNA (24 nucleotides) under Cricetulus griseus (Chinese hamster). Lineage: Eukaryota; Metazoa; Chordata; Mammalia; Rodentia; Cricetidae. The record is from RNAcentral.
UUGGGACAUUGAAAUUGGCUAACG